UCGUCGGUAGUUUACUACCGUUUGAGGGACGUGGAAAUUCUCUAGGCUUGCCUGGGGAGAAGUACACGUCUUUUCUUAACCCUUGAUUUUUUGCGCACUCAUGUUUCCUCGGCGGGCUUGCCCGCCGGCUGGACAAUUACAUAACCUUUUUAAUUUUCAAUCAGCGUCUGAAUAAUUAUAAUAAUUA
Molecule: unclassified non-coding RNA, 187 nt
Filed under: uncultured fungus
Lineage: Eukaryota; Fungi
Description: sequence contains ITS1, 5.8S rRNA gene
Source: RNAcentral